AUUGAACGCUGGCGGCAUGCCUUACACAUGCAAGUCGAACGGCAGCACGGGAGCUUGCUCCUGGUGGCGAGUGGCGAACGGGUGAGUAAUACAUCGGAACGUACCCUGAAGUGGGGGAUAACGUAGCGAAAGUUACGCUAAUACCGCAUACUCUGUGAGCAGGAAAGAGGGGGAUCGCAAGACCUCUUGCUUUAGGAGCGGCCGAUGUCGGAUUAGCUAGUUGGUGAGGUAAAGGCUCACCAAGGCGACGAUCCGUAGCGGGUCUGAGAGGAUGAUCCGCCACACUGGGACUGAGACACGGCCCAGACUCCUACGGGAGGCAGCAGUGGGGAAUUUUGGACAAUGGGCGCAAGCCUGAUCCAGCCAUGCCGCGUGAGUGAAGAAGGCC
RNAcentral lists this ribosomal RNA (388 nucleotides) under uncultured bacterium. RNAcentral describes it as "bacterial SSU rRNA". It matches the Rfam family "Bacterial small subunit ribosomal RNA", at positions 30 to 416 of the family's 1533-position model. The record is from RNAcentral.